UACGGAGGGUGCAAGCGUUGUCCGGAUUUAUUGGGUUUAAAGGGUGCGUAGGCGGCUUUUUAAGUCAGCGGUGAAAGACAACAGCUUAACUGUUGCAGUGCCAUUGAUACUGAAGAGCUUGAGUACAGAUGAGGUAGGCGGAAUUUAUGGUGUAGCGGUGAAAUGCAUAGAUACCAUAAAGAACGCCGAUUGCGAAGGCAGCUUACUAAGCUGUAACUGACGCUGAGGCACGAAAGCGUGGGGAUCAAACAGG
RNAcentral lists this ribosomal RNA (253 nucleotides) under uncultured bacterium. Its description in RNAcentral is "partial 16S ribosomal RNA". It matches the Rfam family "Bacterial small subunit ribosomal RNA", at positions 524 to 776 of the family's 1533-position model. The record is from RNAcentral.